UAGCGCGGUGGUCCCACCUGAGCCCAUGCCGAACUCAGAAGUGAAACGCCGUAGCGCCGAUGGUAGUGUGGGGUCUCCCCAUGCGAGAGUAGGGAACUGCCAGGC
Molecule: ribosomal RNA, 105 nt
Filed under: Escherichia coli
Lineage: Bacteria; Pseudomonadati; Pseudomonadota; Gammaproteobacteria; Enterobacterales; Enterobacteriaceae
Also listed under: 1 other name
Source: RNAcentral